CAGCUGCUUUCCAUGGUGGGCUGCCUUCAGAAAAUGAGCUUAUAUACGGUUUAUUCACAGCUGCAAAAACAUUUUAUUUCCACCACAUUAAGUAAUUAAUGAAACACACAUAAAAAGGUGACUACUGAUAAGACAAACCGGUAACAAUGCAGAGAGUGAACUAAUUUAAGUUUGUCAAACAGUUUUCAGCCCACAGAAAUCACACACACCAUUAAACUAAUGAAAAAGUCGUGCCUUGAUUGUAUGAGCAAAAGAAGUGGUUUGCUUAUGAUACAUGACGAUAAAGAAUCUUUCACUGAAUGUUAUCUUAAAAAGAAAUGUUAUUUCUAACUUUGUUUAUACAUCCUGCAACAGCUUGGAGCCUAUAAGCACCAGCUUCUACCCCGUGUGGAGUAACAUUUAAUAUUAUAACUUCACUUACCAAAGCCAAACUAUUCUUUUGAGACAAAUCUUUUCCCCCUGCACACUUUAUUCUUUUCCUGGGCAAGCAAAAUGUCAGGGCUCCUUCCUCACCCCCGUCCUUCCCACCUGACAUCCCCAAAUACCCCCUUUCCCAUCUCCUCCUUUCUCCUUCUCCUGUUCCUCUCCCUCUCAUGCUCCGGUCUCCCAUCUGCUCCUCUGCCCUGUCUCUCCCUUUACAGCUCGGCGUCUGAGUGGAGUUCAGCUUCCCAGCUGACUCCACUCAGGCAAUCAACCACCUCCACGGCUCCCGGACAGCUGAGGGACAUCACACUGAUUACUCCCCACCACAAUAAGAACCGGCUCAUCCUUCCACUCCCUGCCAGAUUGUUGAACAAAGACCUCACAUUCAGCUGUCCGGGAUCCCCGCCAUCCUCCUUCCCCUCCGGCUCUCCCCAACCCAGUCAUCACCGGUUUCCCCCUCCUGGACCCCCCUGUUCCUGCCUGGACCCCCAUUCCUGCCUGGACCCCCCCGUUCCUGGCCAAAACCCCCCACUACACCAGCCGCUCCCCGCUCCUGCACCUUGGUUUUCCCCCCACCGAGCCACUUUUCACCCCUAACAAUAAAGCACCUUCAUUUCA
This is a long non-coding RNA of Acanthochromis polyacanthus (spiny chromis), 1041 nucleotides long. RefSeq lists it as uncharacterized. Lineage: Eukaryota; Metazoa; Chordata; Actinopteri; Pomacentridae. The transcript is spliced from 2 exons. The record is from RefSeq and is a predicted model, not a curated record.